Chrysemys picta bellii (western painted turtle) is the source of this 3809-nucleotide non-coding RNA. The record is from RefSeq and is a predicted model, not a curated record. Lineage: Eukaryota; Metazoa; Chordata; Testudines; Emydidae.
AUUUUAUGACUCCCCAGGAAGUGCUGGCGACCUCAUUAGUGAAUUUAGAACAGUCUUGCCUGAUCCUCUCCCCAGGGCAUGGGCUAGAUGAGUUAAGAAAACAAACUUCUCUGACUCAAAUAUAUUUACUUUUUCUGUUUCAGUUCUACACCUGUUGGAUUAGUGAUUUGGGGGUAGUAGCCAUUACUAAAUUUGUUUAGGAAAAAUCUAUUUAUUUCCCUUACUCUGCCUGCUUUUCUCACUAUAAUUAAAGAACACAAACAUGCAGGGUUUCUAAUGGCAAAGUGCUUCCCCUGGCCUGGGAACUGGCUUGCCACAGGUUGUAGCUCGGUAAACUGAGAGGUUUUUCUUCUAGAGAUACACUAAGGUCCCUUUGUACUGCCAUGGUGUGUAAAGGGGUCUUUGUGUAUGUGAGCAUGAGGUCCCUUGUGUGUUUUGUCCAUAUUGGUUGCCUCUGUCCCCCUACAAGCCUCCUGUGCAUCCUAAGAAAAUAUCUCCUCUCUCAGGGUGUCUUUUCCAUGUUCCAAACUAGCCUGCCAGCUAUUGCUUCAGUUUAGGAGGAUGCAGAAAUUCACACAGCUGCAGCCGGUCAGCUGAGUGCAUUCAGGUGCAUCUCAUUAACUGACCCAGUGGCGUAGCCUGAGCAGAUAUUCCCAUUAUCAGCGUCUGGACGAGGACUGGAGACUAGGGUAGGUCAAUGCUUGACACCAUCUACUUGGCGUGCUCUUCCCAGUGGGUUAGCUGACAUUUGCUCAAGCCAAAAAAAGAAGGUGGGUCAUAGAUGUCAAGGGAUUUUAAUUGGGAGUAAGAGUCUCUCUCCAAUGGGUGACCCUUAAGUGGCUGGCAGCAUCUUUUCGGUGUGCAACUGAAAGAUUACCGUUGGCGGGAAGUCUGUGCAUGAGGGUGCAUUCAGUCAGCAGGUGAGGGAAUGCUGUAAUGUUCAACUUAGAUCUCCGGGUGGCAGUGUCUGUGAGCUGUUCUCAAGCGCUGGUGAUGCUUCACCAGCUACAUUCGAGUUAAGGAAGAAGAAUUCGGAAUUGACCUUUGGAAGCAACAUAAAUAGACCAUUAUGUUUAAAAGGAGAAGAGACAGGCAAUAGAGAUGGUUUAGAGACUCAUUUAUUAAACUAGGGAGAGAGUCUCUUCAGGAUUUGCAUAUAAAUGAUUGCAUAAUAGUUGCUGCAGGAAAAUGUCUUAAAGUCCACCGGCUGCUGAGCAGAACAAGACCGGGUGUGGUUUGGAAAACAAGUCUCAGUAGCUGUUGGAAUAAUCUUUGCUUCUCAAAGGUGAGGAGUGUGAUUUCCAUGCUGAUGCCCUUGAUAUAUAGAGGGACCUGGGGUUUAAUGUAGCAACGUCUUUCGGAUGGGUGCGUUGGAGGCUCUGCCCAUAUUAUCUUUAGUGACGUGAGAUGAAUCCUUCAGGGUUAGGGACUGAAAUGUGCUACGGCCUCUUCUUCAAGAAAUACAUUUACAGCUUAGCCUGCUCGGCUGGAGGUGGUUUUGGUUUCCACCCUGGUCACAUCUCCUGCUUUUUCUUGGUUGGCUAGUCUGCCUUUAAUAAGGUCCUGCCACCAAGGUCUCCCCUGUAAAGCCAGUAUAUUUAAUAACCCUUCUCCUAACAUAAGGAAUUAUGCCAGUGUAGAUCCCUAGCCUCUGUGCCGAGACGCUGCUUUUGGGUACAAAUACUGCCUGCAAUUAUUUACUCUUUUCACAUACGUGCUAACAUAGCUCAUCAACUCGCUGCCAAAGCUGACAUUAAAAAGCAAUGCAAAACCCUCUUCCUGUGGAUCAGUAGGAAGUGGCUAGCCAAAACCUCCCCGAGUACCUUGCUGAAAGCUGACUUGAAUGGCCCUAAAACUAGGAUUUUGUUAAUAAAAAUAAGAAUGUGAGCUAACAAGGGAUCGAGUUUCAGGCUACUGCAGUCUGACAGUAAAUCCUGAAAACUUGGGUGAAGACUCAAACUCCACCUCGAUCAUUCCAGCAACAAGUACCCCGUAACACCACAGCUAGUGCGUUAUGCAUGUCUCGUAUCCUAGAAUAACUUAUGCUCAAUCAAACCUGAAGCACGUCAGUCUAUUGUAUUCAGAGUCAAUGCAUUCGAAUGUAAUUUCACCAGUUCAUGAGCCCAAGUAAAAUGUUACAUCAGCUAGACUAUUAAAGGCACAUUUCCACCUGUAUUCAUUUAGUCUCUGCUUCCCAGAGGUCCGGAGCAGCCUGGGCUCAGAGUGUGUGUAAAAUCUAUGCUGGUUAUCUUGCAUCAUAAAAUGAAUCCAUGGAAAGAUUUGCAGUGUGUAUCAAUACAAGUUAUGCCUGGUGAAGUCAAGUUUUCCACACAGGAAGUUUUUCGUGGGCUGAGAGAAUGUCUUGGAGGGUCCUCCAUUAUCCCUGUUUGCCCCCUAAGAAUUUGCAUUUGGCAUCUUCUCUUCAUGUUUUGCUCUCCUUUGUUUUUGCAGCCCUGAAUGGGAUCCCGAAUAUGUUUCUAAAAUAGGGAAGGCAUAGGUCAGCUCUGAAGGAUCACAGCUGGCUUCCACCUGUCCCAAAAAUGAUCCUCUGUGCUAGUUCAGAGGCUUAUGGUAAAUCUCCCGGCCAACAGCUGGGGACUAUACAGUGUCAUUCCCUGUAGAGGAGGAGUUUGUCAGCCUGAUACUUGGAAAGCAGGUUAUAUGCGUCAGGGAUGCCUGUCUUUUCUCUGAGUGGACUAGCUGUGCCAGGCUGGAACGUCGUCCUCUAGCUGAGUAAGUGCUCGAGAAUCCACUGCUUUGCAUUUGCUCUAGAAAUCAUGCUCGCUAACGAGAGAACAAACCUUCAUCUGCCAAUCCGGCCCGAGAGCAGACGAUUGAAAGCUUGAGGUGGGUACAGGCUCCUUUGAAUUCUAGCUGUUUCCCACAGGUGUUUUUAGUCUAGUCGUAUGAGUGCUUUGGUUCAUCGUGUCUUUGUUUUCUCUACAUCAGGGUUUUCUCGUGUCUAUGUUUGGUACAUACUAGAGUAUAGGUCAGAUCCGCAGUCCAGUUCCACUCCUCUCUGGUAGUGGCUGAUUCCCAAUUCUGCAGAGAACGGGAACCCUCUCCCCACACAGUGCAAGUGGGGCUAGCCGUGCCGUGCACUUUAAUUCCUUCCUGUCCCCUUGGUUUCCUCUCUCUGAGAACGGCGGUUCUUUCCUACUCUGAAUUGCUUCUUGCCAGACACGUUGUAAAAACCUGAGGGGAUAUUAUUCGAACAUGAAAUACCGGUGUAUUGACAUGAACUAUUAACUUUCACUCCAGGAAGCAUAACUAAAUCAUCCCUGCAUACUAUAUCCUGGCUGUACAGUACCAGACCACGGGGGCUCUGAUUCUUGAGGGGGGGCCUGUAAUGUAACACCUGCAGCCUUUCUGUCACCCCAUAUUCAUCUCCAGAUCCAUUUCAAGCCCUUUCAGGCCUGCUGUAUCCUCCCCAUGCCUCCCUUGCAGUGGGGCUGGCAUUCUUUUACGAGCACUGCCCUCAGCUGCUUGGAGCUCUUUCUCGGCUCCCACAUGCCAUGUCUUCUCUGUCUCCCCCAAUCCUUGCGUUUCACUUGGGUUUACAGUGAAGCUGCUCUCGCUGUUGGUUAGAUAAGGUGCACUGGGCUUGAUGGGCACAGGGUGCCAGCUGCCCAUGAGCGUGGGGCACUGGUGAUCUCAGGCAGCCUCCUUUGGGGAAAUGAUGGGAGAGGAAAGCUUCCCUCUGCCUUGGUGCUCUCCCUGUCCUACAAGUUUGUGGCAGAUGCCUCUUUUCGUUUCCCUUCUCGCUCUAGCAGUUUUUCCCUCGAAGGCUACAUCGACACAGCAAAACG